Molecule: ribosomal RNA, 439 nt
Filed under: uncultured bacterium
Lineage: Bacteria
Description: partial 16S ribosomal RNA
Rfam family: Bacterial small subunit ribosomal RNA
Source: RNAcentral
CUACGGGAUGCACCAGUGGGGAAUAUUGCACAAUGGAGGGAACUCUGAUGCAGCAACGCCGCGUGGAGGAUGACACAUUUCGGUGCGUAAACUCCUUUUAUAUAAGAAGAUAAUGACGGUAUUAUAUGAAUAAGCACCGGCUAACUCCGUGCCAGCAGCCGCGGUAAUACGGGGGGUGCAAGCGUUACUCGGAAUCACUGGGCGUAAAGAGCAUGUAGGCUGGUUUGUAAGUUGGAAGUGAAAUCCUAUGGCUUAACCAUAGAACUGCUUCCAAAACUACUUACCUAGAGUAUGGGAGAGGUAGAUGGAAUUUCUGGUGUAGGGGUAAAAUCCGUAGAGAUCAGAAGGAAUACCGAUUGCGAAGGCGAUCUACUGGAACAUUACUGACGCUCAGAUGCGAAAGCGUGGGGAGCAAACCGGAUUAGAUACCCCCGUAGUC